This 164-nucleotide ribosomal RNA is filed under the name Dendrobium densiflorum. Its description in RNAcentral is "5.8S ribosomal RNA". It matches the Rfam family "5.8S ribosomal RNA". From Rfam's summary of the family: 5.8S ribosomal RNA (5.8S rRNA) is a component of the large subunit of the eukaryotic ribosome. It is transcribed by RNA polymerase I as part of the 45S precursor that also contains 18S and 28S rRNA. The record is from RNAcentral. Lineage: Eukaryota; Viridiplantae; Streptophyta; Magnoliopsida; Asparagales; Orchidaceae.
GACACGACUCUCGGCAAUGGAUAUCUCGGCUCACGCAUCGAUGAAGAGCGCAGCGAAAUGCGAUACGUGGUGCGAAUUGCAGAAUCCCGCGAACCAUCGAGUCUUUGAACGCAAGUUGCGCCCGAGGCCAACCGGCCAAGGGCACGUCUGCCUGGGCGUCAAGC